This is a long non-coding RNA of Mauremys reevesii (Reeves's turtle), 480 nucleotides long. RefSeq lists it as uncharacterized. NCBI's taxonomy places the organism in Eukaryota, Metazoa, Chordata, Testudines, Geoemydidae. The transcript has 4 exons. The record is from RefSeq and is a predicted model, not a curated record.
GGUGAACUUGCUCCUGCCAGGGCCUAUUUAUGAUUUUAACCUAUUGGAAGACUUCUCUUCCUCUCAGAAGUAAAACUGAUUUUGUAUAUCAUCUGCUUCUCCAACCAUUGCUCAAGAGAUGGUUAGCCUGUAUUCCUGCCCAGCUGCAGUGGCAAUUUUACAACCAGUCCAGUGUUGAUGAACAAUUCAAUUAUUGAUGGAUCAUUCAAAUGGGCCAUUAAGUGGAAUCAACUCUUCAGUGAGCUCUUCCUGAAGAUUCUUCAGACAGCAUGAAGCCAAGUGCUUACCCCUGUGAUUCAGCAAAACAGUACUCUGGAUUGUGGAUUUCCAACAAAAGGAGUAUUUUGAACAAUGGACUGAGGGCCUUUCAAUGUUUUGGAAGUUCCAGAGAGACUUUUGCAAGCCAGCAGACUCAUCCAUCUCUGCUACAAAUCUGAUCUAAGCACUUUGCAGUCAUUUGUAAUGUAUAUGAUCUUUUAA